RNAcentral lists this ribosomal RNA (505 nucleotides) under Cervidellus vexilliger. Its description in RNAcentral is "SSU rRNA". It matches the Rfam family "Eukaryotic small subunit ribosomal RNA", at positions 88 to 590 of the family's 1831-position model. The record is from RNAcentral. Lineage: Eukaryota; Metazoa; Nematoda; Chromadorea; Rhabditida; Cephalobidae.
CGCGAAUGGCUCAUUAUAACAGCUAUAAUUUACUUGAUCUUGACACAAUCCUACUUGGAUAACUGUGGUAAUUCUAGAGCUAAUACAUGCAUUAAAGCUCUGACCUCACGGGAAGAGUGCAUUUAUUAGAACAAAACCAAGCGGCUUCGGCUGUUUCUGGUUGACUCAUAGUAACUGAGCUGAUCGCAUGGUCUUGCACCGGCGACGUGUCUUUCAAGUAUCUGCCGUAUCAACUUUCGAUGGUAGUGUAUCUGACUACCAUGGUGAUCACGCGUAACGGAGAAUAAGGGUUCGGCUCCGGAGAGUUCGCCUGAGAAAUCGCGAACACAUCUAAGGAAGGCAGCAGGCGCGAAAAUUACCCACUCUCAGCACGAGGAGGUAGUGACGAAAAAUAACGAGACCGUUCUCUUAUGAGGCCGGUCAUCGGAAUGGGUACAAUUUAAACCCUUUAACGAGUAUCUAUGAGAGGGCAAGUCUGGUGCCAGCAGCCGCGGUAAUUCCAGCU